RNAcentral lists this ribosomal RNA (284 nucleotides) under uncultured bacterium. Its description in RNAcentral is "partial 16S ribosomal RNA". It matches the Rfam family "Bacterial small subunit ribosomal RNA", at positions 773 to 1060 of the family's 1533-position model. The record is from RNAcentral.
GUGGAUUAGAUACCCUGGUAGUCCACGCCGUAAACGAUGAUCACUCGCUGUUGGCGAUACACAGUCAGCGGCUAAGCAAAAGCAUUAAGUGAUCCACCUGGGGAGUACGGCCGCAAGGCUGAAACUCAAAGGAAUUGACGGGGGCCCGCACAAGCGGAGGAACAUGUGGUUUAAUUCGAUGAUACGCGAGGAACCUUACCUGGGCUUAAAUGUAGAGUGCAUGAGGUAGAAAUACUUCUUUCCUUCGGGACUCUUUGCAAGGUGCUGCAUGGUUGUCGUCAGCU